This 254-nucleotide ribosomal RNA is filed under the name uncultured bacterium. Its description in RNAcentral is "partial 16S ribosomal RNA". It matches the Rfam family "Bacterial small subunit ribosomal RNA", at positions 524 to 776 of the family's 1533-position model. The record is from RNAcentral.
UACGUAGGGUGCGAGCGUUGUCCGGAGUUAUUGGGCGUAAAGAGCUCGUAGGCGGUGUGUCACGUCGUUCGUGAAAACCUGCAGCUUAACUGUGGGCGUGCGGUCGAUACGGGCAUCACUGGAGUUCGGCAGGGGAGACUGGAAUUCCUGGUGUAGCGGUGAAAUGCGCAGAUAUCAGGAAGAACACCCGUGGCGAAGGCGGCUCUCUGGGACGGUACUGACGCUGAGACGCGAAAGCGUGGGGAGCGAACAGG